Non-coding RNA from Camelina sativa (false flax), 198 nucleotides. Lineage: Eukaryota; Viridiplantae; Streptophyta; Magnoliopsida; Brassicales; Brassicaceae. The record is from RefSeq and is a predicted model, not a curated record.
UUCAGGGGCAUGUAUUGAACUUGAACACGGCCUGGUGAAUUGUGGAGCGGACCUCGCUAUUUUGUUUGUGGACACACUAGUUAAAGCCAAGUCUCCUUGCAACGAUGAAACUCUCGAUCGUAUCAGGGGUAUGUACAAAUUGUUUCCUCGUGUUCCCGUACCACCUCAUUUGGUAGACGUGAGCGACGAUGAAGAUGU